UUUGGCAACACAGAAAUUAGAAUGAUUACAGAGAUUAGCAUUGCUGCUAUGAAAGAAUAGUGUGCAAAUUUGCAAAGUGUUUCAUAUCCUU
RNAcentral lists this small nuclear RNA (91 nucleotides) under Cervus elaphus hippelaphus. The record is from RNAcentral. Lineage: Eukaryota; Metazoa; Chordata; Mammalia; Artiodactyla; Cervidae.